RNAcentral lists this ribosomal RNA (468 nucleotides) under uncultured bacterium. Its description in RNAcentral is "partial 16S ribosomal RNA". It matches the Rfam family "Bacterial small subunit ribosomal RNA", at positions 28 to 507 of the family's 1533-position model. The record is from RNAcentral.
GACGAACGCUGGCGGCGUGCUUAACACAUGCAAGUCGAACGGAAAGGCCCUGCUUUUGUGGGGUGCUCGAGUGGCGAACGGGUGAGUAACACGUGAGUAACCUGCCCUUGACUUUGGGAUAACUUCAGGAAACUGGGGCUAAUACCGGAUAGGAGCUCCUGCUGCAUGGUGGGGGUUGGAAAGUUUCGGCGGUUGGGGAUGGACUCGCGGCUUAUCAGCUUGUUGGUGGGGUAGUGGCUUACCAAGGCUUUGACGGGUAGCCGGCCUGAUAGGGUGACCGGCCACAUUAGGACUGAGAUACGACACAGACUCCUACGGGAGGCAGCAGUGGGGAAUAUUGCACAAUGGGCGGAAGCCUGAUGCAGCAAAGCCGCGUGCGGGAUGACGGCCUUCGGGUUGUAAACCGCUUUCGCCUGUGACGAAGCGUGAGUGACGGUAAUGGGUAAAGAAGCACCGGCUAACUACGUG